AAAUAUUAAGAAAUACAGUAUUCUUACACAGUUACUCAUUCUUAGUAAACUCUGUGGGACCGAGUUACAUUAUAAUCCCAUGUUCCUUGGUUCAUAUAAUCAUUCACUCAAUGACAGGUUUAUUUUGCAUCCCUGUCCUGUAUAGCACUGUGCUGGAAUAUGUUGUUUUCUCGAACCUUUCGUUUCUUGAUUCUUUCCUUAGAACCUACACAGAAAGUUCUCUUUUCCAGCAUUGCGUGUCUUAGAAUCUUCCCUGCAGACUGCCUCUAAGAGGCAGUCUGAAGUGCCUUACCUAAAAUCUUCAGGGGUAGAUAUAUUUGUGAACUCAUAUUUGUUAAUUUUAGGAAAAUAUGUGUUUGCAUGUAUGUGUGACAUAAUGCCGUAAAGGAUUUCUAAAUAUUCAUCCAUAAAAAUUUCUAAAUAUUCAAAUCAGAGAUUAAUAAAGCGAGCCCUACAAGAGGAACAAGGAAAAGGAUUUUAGUGAAGGUAUCCUGAUCCUGAAAAAGUCAGGGAGGGCUUCAAGCCCAUCUUGGACUGCAGAGCACUUCACAACUUUGUGGCAAGAAAAUUACAUGUGGAAUUGGGCUACCUUUCAAAGGAAGAUAUACCUGGGUUUCAGA
Molecule: long non-coding RNA, 620 nt
Organism: Chinchilla lanigera (long-tailed chinchilla)
Lineage: Eukaryota; Metazoa; Chordata; Mammalia; Rodentia; Chinchillidae
Exons: 3
Source: RefSeq, a predicted model, not a curated record